UAAUAAAAGUUAAAAUUUAAUUUUACAAUGAAAAUGUAAUGUUUUUUUUAAACUAUGUUAAUAGAAAU
Molecule: transfer RNA, 68 nt
Filed under: Atelius sp. UPOL VK0733
Lineage: Eukaryota; Metazoa; Arthropoda; Insecta; Coleoptera; Lycidae
Description: tRNA-Gln
Source: RNAcentral